This 900-nucleotide non-coding RNA is filed under the name Sabahphrynus maculatus (spotted Asian tree toad). RNAcentral's name for it is "partial 12S ribosomal RNA". It matches the Rfam family "Bacterial small subunit ribosomal RNA". Lineage: Eukaryota; Metazoa; Chordata; Amphibia; Anura; Bufonidae. The record is from RNAcentral.
UUAUUACUUAAUAUACACAUGCAAGUAUCCGCCCCCCUGUGAGAACGCCCUCUAACCCCUCCUGGGACAAGGAGCUGGUAUCAGGCACAAUAAUUUGCCCAAGACACCUAGUUAUGCCACACCCACAAGGGAACUCAGCAGUGAUUAACAUUGAACAUUAGCGUAAGCUUGAUUUAGUUAAAGUAAUAUAGAGCCGGCUAAUCUGGUGCCAGCCGCCGCGGUUACACCACGUGGCUCAAAUUGACCCCCUCCGGCGUAAAGCGUGAUUAAAGUAUUUUUUAUUAGAGUUAAACUAAAACUAAGCUGUGACACGCCUGUUUAUUAAGAAACCCAAAGACGAAAGUUACUCUAACGUAACCAACUUGAAUUCACGACAGCUGGAAAACAAACUGGGAUUAGAUACCCCACUAUGCCCAGCCGUAAACUUUUACUUACAUUCGAAUCGCCAGGGAACUACGAGCUAAGCUUAAAACCCAAAGGACUUGACGGUACCCCAUAUCCCCCUAGAGGAGCCUGUUCUAUAAUCGAUAAUCCACGUUUAACCUCACCAUUUUUAGUUUUUCAGCCUGUAUACCUCCGUCGUCAGCUUACCACGUGAGCGCAAAUUAGUGAGCUUAAUGUUAUUUCACCAGUACGUCAGGUCAAGGUGCAGCAUAUAAAAUGGAAAGAAAUGGGCUACACUUUUUAUAAUAAAAGAUAACGGAAAACUAUGUGAAACCUAGUUUAAAGGCGGAUUUAGCAGUAAAAAGGAGUCAGCACACCCCUUUUAACCCGGCACUGGGGUGUGUACACACCGCCCGUCACCCUCUUCGAAGCUACAACACAAUUUUUAAUAAAUCAAAGCACAACAGAAGAGGCAAGUCGUAACAUGGUAAGUAUACCGGAAGGUGUGCUUGGAAU